AUCUGUUUACACGCUAGUGUCAUCUACAGUGUCAUGAAAAGUGUUUGUCAAAUUAUAUUAAAAUUAUAAAUCUUCUUGGCUAUUAAUUAUUCUAUGUUUGUGGAAUUAAUCUAGACUUUAUUAACGUUCAAUUUUUUUUAUCAUCCGUCUUUUUUUCCGUCAAAGUUAAAUAAGGAAUAAAUUGUUCCUUUGACAGCUAUCACGUUGGACAUUCCCUCUCAUCGACCUUUGGAAGCAUUCCUUUAUAUUGGGAGUGUUGAAUCAUAUUUGGGAAUAUGGCUGCUGCUGCUGCUGCUGCGUUACUCGACGAGCUUAUGGGAAGAAACAGAAAUGUUCUUCCUAACGAAAAACCUAAAGAACUAAAUUGGGAGGAUCCAGAGUUUUGCAAAUUAUAUUUGGUCAAAUUCUGUCCUCACGAUUUAUUCGUUAACACUCGAGCUGAUCUUGGAGCUUGUUCACGAGUACACGAUGAUGAAGCUAGAGAACUUUUUGAGAAAGCGCCAUAUUCUUAUCGUAAACAACAAUACGAAGAUGAAUUUAUUAGAUUUUGUCAAAGUAUGCUUAACGAGGUUGAAAGGAAAAUUGUAAAAGGCAAACAACGUCUUGCUUUAAUUGGAAGAACUGAAGCACCUACUUUGACUCCAGCACAAACUCAAAGGAAUGAAGAACAAAUAGCUCUGCUAACGGAGAAGAUUAACAAAUUAGUCGAAGAAGCUGAACAAAGUGGUAUUCAAGGAAACGUUGAACAAGCUCAAGGCCUAAUGAGACUUUGUGACCAAUUAAAAGAAGAACGAGAAGCUCUUAGAAAGUCCAAUGACAAUAGUCAUUAUAAUCAAACUGCUGAGUUAGCUGCUGCUCAAGAAAAACAGAUGGAAGUUUGUGACGUGUGCGGUGCUUUUUUGAUUGUCGGAGAUGCUCAACAACGAAUUGAUGAUCACUUGAUGGGUAAACAACAUGUUGGUUAUGCCAGAUUAAAAAGUGCUCUUCAAGAUAUUAUGAGUAAACGUGAAAAAGCACGAGAUGAAAAAGAGCAGAAAAGAGAAGAAGAGAGAAAGCAGAGAGCACGUGUUAAUGAAGAAUUGGAUAGACGAAGGAGAGAAAGUGACAGAGAUAGAGACAGAGAAAGGGAUAAACGUCGCAGACGUACAGACGAUGACAAGGGUAGACAUGACUCUGGAAGUCAUAGAAAUUCUGGACAUAGAAGUAGAAGCAGGUCUAGAGAGAAAUAUGAUCGACAUCGCGAUGACGAUAAUCAUCGACGUCAUGCUCGCGAUAAAGGAAAUCGAGAUCAUCGAAGUUCAAGUCACCAUAAUCGUCGUCGCCAUCGAUCUCGAAGUCGAAGUCACAAGUUCUUUACCAGAAUUUAACAUAAUGAGGUUAACAACAGCUACAAUAAGGGAAUUAUGUUAAUCGUAUAAAUAAAGUAAUUGCGAUUCGUACGAAAUUUUAAUAUUUGUUAAAUCUUAACUUCUAAAACAUUGAUUAUCUAUUUUCAGAAUGAAGACAGGACAAUGGAAAUUAAGCAGUUCGAAGGAUCCACCUGCACUCCGCUUUAUAUAUUAUUAAGUGUUUUCAAAAAUGAUCGCUACGAGG
Molecule: unclassified non-coding RNA, 1593 nt
Filed under: Polistes dominula (European paper wasp)
Lineage: Eukaryota; Metazoa; Arthropoda; Insecta; Hymenoptera; Vespidae
Description: luc7-like protein 3, transcript variant X1
Source: RNAcentral